CAGCCGCCACGGUAAUACAGAGGGUGCAAGCGUUAAUCGGAAUUACUGGGCGUAAAGCGCGCGUAGGUGGUUCGUUAAGUUGGAUGUGAAAUCCCCGGGCUCAACCUGGGAACUGCAUCCAAAACUGGCGAGCUAGAGUAGGGCAGAGGGUGGUGGAAUUUCCUGUGUAGCGGUGAAAUGCGUAGAUAUAGGAAGGAACACCAGUGGCGAAGGCGACCACCUGGGCUCAUACUGACACUGAGGUGCGAAAGCGUGGGGAGCAAACAGGAUUAGAUACCCCCGUAGUCCCUGUCUCUUAUAC
Molecule: ribosomal RNA, 301 nt
Filed under: uncultured bacterium
Lineage: Bacteria
Description: partial 16S ribosomal RNA
Rfam family: Bacterial small subunit ribosomal RNA
Source: RNAcentral